RNAcentral lists this ribosomal RNA (1343 nucleotides) under uncultured bacterium. RNAcentral's name for it is "16S ribosomal RNA". It matches the Rfam family "Bacterial small subunit ribosomal RNA", at positions 28 to 1378 of the family's 1533-position model. The record is from RNAcentral.
GACGAACGCUGGCGGCGUGCUUAACACAUGCAAGUCGAACGGAAAGGCCCUGCUUUUGUGGGGUGCUCGAGUGGCGAACGGGUGAGUAACACGUGAGUAACCUGCCCUUGACUUUGGGAUGACUUCAGGAAACUGGGGCUAAUACCGGAUAGGAGCUCCUGCUGCAUGGUGGGGGUUGGAAAGUUUCGGCGGUUGGGGAUGGACUCGCGGCUUAUCAGCUUGUUGGUGGGGUAGUGGCUUACCAAGGCUUUGACGGGUAGCCGGCCUGAGAGGGUGACCGGCCACAUUGGGACUGAGAUACGGCCCAGACUCCUACGGGAGGCAGCAGUGGGGAAUAUUGCACAAUGGGCGGAAGCCUGAUGCAGCAACGCCGCGUGCGGGAUGACGGCCUUCGGGUUGUAAACCGCUUUCGCCUGUGACGAAGCGUGAGUGACGGUAAUGGGUAAAGAAGCACCGGCUAACUACGUGCCAGCAGCCGCGGUGAUACGUAGGGUGCGAGCGUUGUCCGGAUUUAUUGGGCGUAAAGGGCUCGUAGGUGGUUGAUCGCGUCGGAAGUGUAAUCUUGGGGCUUAACCCUGAGCGUGCUUUCGAUACGGGUUGACUUGAGGAAGGUAGGGGAGAAUGGAAUUCCUGGUGGAGCGGUGGAAUGCGCAGAUAUCAGGAGGAACACCAGUGGCGAAGGCGGUUCUCUGGGCCUUUCCUGACGCUGAGGAGCGAAAGCGUGGGGAGCGAACAGGCUUAGAUACCCUGGUAGUCCACGCUGUAAACGGUGGGUACUAGGUGUGGGGUCCAUUCCACGGGUUCCGUGCCGUAGCUAACGCUUUAAGUACCCCGCCUGGGGAGUACGGCCGCAAGGCUAAAACUCAAAGGAAUUGACGGGGCCCCGCACAAGCGGCGGAGCAUGCGGAUUAAUUCGAUGCAACGCGUAGAACCUUACCUGGGUUUGACAUGGAUCGGGAGUGCUCAGAGAUGGGUGUGCCUCUUUUGGGGUCGGUCCACAGGUGGUGCAUGCCUGUCGUCAGCUCGUGUCGUGAGAUGUUGGGUUAAGUCCCGCAACGAGCGCAACCCUUGUUCACUGUUGCCAGCACGUUAUGGUGGGGACUCAGUGGAGACCGCCGGGGUCAGCUCGGAGGAAGGUGGGGAUGACGUCAAGUCCUCAUGCCCCUUAUGUCCAGGGCUUCACGCAUGCUACAAUGGCUGGUACAGAGAGUGGCGAGCCUGUGAGGGUGAGCGAAUCUCGGAAAGCCGGUCUCAGUUCGGAUUGGGGUCUGCAACUCGACCUCAUGAAGUCGGAGUCGCUAGUAAUCGCAGAUCAGCAACGCUGCGGUGAAUACGUUCCCGGG